UACGUAGGGUGCGAGCGUUAAUCGGAUUUACUGGGUUUAAAGGGUGCGCAGGCGGUUGUUUAAGUCAGGGGUGAAAGCCCUAUGCUCAACAUAGGGAUUGCCUUUGAUACUGAACGGCUAGAGUGAAGAUGGAGUGGGUGGAAUGUGUUGUGUAGCGGUGAAAUGCGUAGAGAUCAGGAGGAACACCGAUGGCGAAGGCAGCCCCCUGGGCCUGUACUGACGCUCAUGCACGAAAGCGUGGGGAGCAAACAGG
Molecule: ribosomal RNA, 253 nt
Filed under: uncultured microorganism
Description: partial 16S ribosomal RNA
Rfam family: Bacterial small subunit ribosomal RNA
Source: RNAcentral